CAAUCUCAGUUCAGACUGCAGGCUGCAACUCGCCUGCACGAAGUCGGAAUUGCUAGUAAUCGUAGGUCAGCACACUACGGUGAAUACGUUCCCGGGCCUUGUACACACCGCCCGUCAAACCAUGAGAGUUGGCAACACCCGAAGUCGGUAGUCUAACCGCAAGGAGGACGCCGCCGAAGGUGGGGUUGAUGAUUAGGGUUAAGUCGUAACAAGGUACC
RNAcentral lists this ribosomal RNA (218 nucleotides) under uncultured bacterium. RNAcentral's name for it is "partial 16S ribosomal RNA". It matches the Rfam family "Bacterial small subunit ribosomal RNA", at positions 1283 to 1500 of the family's 1533-position model. The record is from RNAcentral.